AAAAUAUUACUUAGAUGGUUUUUGCACAAAACUCUUUAUAUAAAGACUCAAAAUCGACAAGAUAUAAGAAUUAUAGAAAAGAAGAAAAAAAACUCCCUAAUCACAUUGUAUCUCUUCUAACUACGUUUAAAAGUUUGCCAGUUUAUCAAAAUUCUUAUCAUUUAUAGCCUUUCAAAUAAAAUAAAUAAUCCAUGAGAGCAUUGAAGUAUUAGUCCCUCUUAGGUUCACUCUCAUAUUGACAAAAAAAAAUCCGAUGAUAACAUCCCUGGUCCCGAAGGAACUUGUGAUAAUGCCCAAUUUGAUAAAGCUGCU
This 312-nucleotide long non-coding RNA is filed under the name Capsella rubella. RNAcentral describes it as "long non-coding RNA (CRUB_LNC002251)". The record is from RNAcentral. Lineage: Eukaryota; Viridiplantae; Streptophyta; Magnoliopsida; Brassicales; Brassicaceae.